RNAcentral lists this ribosomal RNA (643 nucleotides) under uncultured Pseudomonadota bacterium. RNAcentral describes it as "bacterial SSU rRNA". It matches the Rfam family "Bacterial small subunit ribosomal RNA", at positions 9 to 645 of the family's 1533-position model. The record is from RNAcentral. Lineage: Bacteria; Pseudomonadati; Pseudomonadota.
GAGUUUGAUCAUGGCUCAGAUUGAACGCUGGCGGCAGGCCUAACACAUGCAAGUCGAGCGGACGAGGGUAGCUUGCUACCUGAGUUAGCGGCGGACGGGUGAGUAACACGUAGGCAUUUGCCCAGUAGUGGGGGAUAACGUUCCGAAAGGAACGCUAAUACCGCAUACGCCCCAUGGGGGAAAGCAGGGGAUCUUCGGACCUUGCGCUAUUGGAGGAGCCUGCGUCGGAUUAGCUAGUUGGUGGGGUAAGGGCCUACCAAGGCGACGAUCCGUAGCUGGUCUGAGAGGAUGAUCAGCCACACUGGGACUGAGACACGGCCCAGACUCCUACGGGAGGCAGCAGUGGGGAAUAUUGGACAAUGGGGGCAACCCUGAUCCAGCCAUGCCGCGUGUGUGAAGAAGGCCUUCGGGUUGUAAAGCACUUUCAGUGGGGAGGAAAAGUUGGUGGUUAAUACCCGCCGACCGUGACGUUACCCACAGAAGAAGCACCGGCAAACUCCGUGCCAGCAGCCGCGGUAAUACGGAGGGUGCGAGCGUUAAUCGGAAUUACUGGGCGUAAAGCGCACGUAGGCGGCGUGUUAAGCUGGAUGUGAAAUCCCCCGGGCUCAACCUGGGAACUGCAUCCAGAACUGGGCAGGCUAGA